UACAGAGGGUGCAAGCGUUGUUCGGAAUCAUUGGGCGUAAAGGGCGUGUAGGCGGUUUGUUAAGUCAUGUGUGAAAUCCCUCGGCUCAACCGGGGAACGACGCAUGAAACUGACAAGCUAGAGUACCAAAGAGGGGGGUGGAAUUCCCGGUGUAGCGGUGAAAUGCGUAGAGAUCGGGAGGAACACCGGUGGAGAAGGCGGGUCUCUGGGCAUCUCCUGACGCUGAGGCGCGAAAGCGUGGGGAGCAAACGGG
This 253-nucleotide ribosomal RNA is filed under the name uncultured bacterium. Its description in RNAcentral is "partial 16S ribosomal RNA". It matches the Rfam family "Bacterial small subunit ribosomal RNA", at positions 524 to 776 of the family's 1533-position model. The record is from RNAcentral.